This 72-nucleotide transfer RNA is filed under the name Patescibacteria group bacterium. RNAcentral describes it as "tRNA-Arg". It matches the Rfam family "tRNA". Rfam says of the family: Transfer RNA (tRNA) molecules are approximately 80 nucleotides in length. The record is from RNAcentral.
GCUCUCGUCGUUCAACGGAUAGGACACAGCUUUGCGGAAGCUGCAAUGUAGGUUCGAUUCCUGCCGAGAGCA